UAAUGAAGUUGACCCUCAAACUCCAAAUUAGUUUGAGAAAGCUGUAAAACAUGACAUGCCAUAGAAUAUGAGUUUUGUGUGAAAUAAAUGGCAACUUCCCAAAACAGGUGGUAUUAACAGUAGAAGGAAAAUGUUUGUGUGCAUUCUUGGGGCUGGCAUUUGGCCUACUGAUUAAGACACCAGUUCAGAUGCCCAUGUACCAUAUCAGAGUGCCUGGGUUCAAGACCAGCUCUUCCUUCUGACUCCAGUUGCCUGCUAAUGCAGACCCUGGGAGGCAGUGGUGAUGGCUCAGGGACUGGGUUCCCACAAAGGAGAUAUGGAUUGUGUUCCUGAAUUCUGGCUUUGACUUCAGCCUAGCCCUGGCCAUUGUAGGCACUUGGGGAGUGAGGCAGUGGAUGUCUGUCUGUCUCUGUCCCCCUGUCUCUCAAAUCAAUACAUUAAGUUAAAUUAAGAAGUUUGUGCACAUUCUCAAUCUUGCCAAGCAAAGUCUUUCUUGUUUAUCUUCCUGGGCUUCUCCCACAAAUGCAUUAAAGCAGUUUUGGAGUUGUCUGGACCCCACCCUGAGCGCUCUAGGCAGUGCAUACACGGCAAAAGACCUCCUUCCCUUUAAACCAUUUCUCUAAGUCCCAGACAUCCUAAUGUCCCAAGUUUUUAAAUUAUUCUUUACAUGCUUCUCUCAUUAGCCCUAUUUUGAUCUGGGUUUCCCCCGAAGCAGAUAGGAGCAUAAGUAGUCUAUAGAGGAGGUGAUUCCAGGAAAUACUAGUCAGGCAUGGGGAAGUGAGACCAGAAAGGGAAGAGCAGCAAUCAAGCGUGCAUCAUCACACAAGCACCGCUGAGGACGACUGGUACCCGACCCCACUGGAGCUCUGAGGACCAGGGGAGAACCUAUCCCAAAUUUAUUCCUAGAGAAGGGUAGAGAAGGUGGGGUGUUUUCCACCAACUUCCUGCCUGAAAUUAGUUGAGAACAGCUUAUGGGAGCAUGAUUUUCCAUCACUGCUGACUUGCCCCGUUUGGCCCCAACAUGCCCCCAAUGAUGAGAAAAAGCCCAGAGACAGAGGGGCUCAGUGUGGGCUAUCAAGAGCCUUAAUUGAAAUAUCAAGGUGGCACCAAUAGCUACAGCACUUCUGCUACAAUCUCUUUCGUCUAGGACAGGGGCUUUCCACCCAAAUACAGUCUCUGCGAUUCUGUUUUUCUUUUGUUUCUGUGCCGUUACCAAGAGAAGUCAUCAUGCUACUCACCACUUCAUCUUCCUGUGCCGAAAAACUUCAAUCUAUGUUUCACAUUCUGUCUUCCCCACGUGCUGGUUCCACAUCCCGGGCUGUUGAUAGAAUGACUGCACUGGGGUAUCUCAUCAUCAACCUUCAAAAUUCCAAAUUCCUGCUCAUUGUUAUACAAAAUGUUUAUUCUUUCUACAUAUAUUUGUUGAACUUCAACUAUGGUGCUAGGCAUUGCCUAGGUAGUGGGGAUAUGCCAGUAAAUAAAGCAUAUUUGUCUUCACAGAUUUCAAAGUCUGAAGGCAAACAGAGGAAUGCAGACACAUAAACAGGGAGCCACUUGUCCCCGCCCUGGAGCAAGGUCUACACGGGAGAACAUCAGAGGUCGCUUCUUAAGCUGGACUUGGAGGAGAGAGAGAUUUCACUCAAGCCUGCAGCUCUCAGCUCUGACUGCACAGAAUCACAGUAUUGUUUUUAACAAUACUGGUACCCUUCGGAGACCAGUGAAGUCAAAACCUCUGGGAGUAAGCUUUAGGUGUCUGUAAAUCUCUCAUGUAAUUCUAAUGUGCAGCCACUGAUGUAGGCCCUGCCGUAACCUGAUGACGGCUUCCCUGGUAAGUAGAUGUCCUUGUCCCUCCAAAUCCAGCAUUUGCUGGGUUGGACAAGAAUGGGUACACACUGGCAACUUUCUGGUCUCUGACCUCAAGAGUUCUGGUUUUUGUUCUGUUGACAUAUACUUUCUUUUUCAUUACAAGAGAUUUCAAGCAUACAAGAAAAAUAGUGUGACUAAUGAACGUGCCCCUAAAAGACCAAGCUUUGUCAAAUCCUACUAUUUUGUAUAUGCAGAUAUUUUCAUAAAAUUACAGGUAUGGAUUUAGGUCUCCUGUACUGCCCUGUGCAAAUGCAGUUUCCUUCUUUCUCUGCUUAGAGGUGACCUCUCUUCCUCAGGUGGAAUUCACCCUUUCUAUGCAUGUUUUAUCCUUCCACCAGAAAUGGAUACAGACUGGUAAGUUUUAGGUAAGUGAUACCAACCUACACAUAUCCUGUUGCUUGCCACCUUUGCUUGAUUAUGUUUUUGAGAAUUCCCAUGCUGAUACAUGUAGCUUUAAUUCAAUCACUGUCACCAGUAUACAAUUCCAGAAGUUCCUAUAAAAGCAACUUCCAUUUGUUUCUCUUGGGUGCACUACAUACCUGAAAGUGGAAUGGUUGGGUCAAUUGCACAUACAAUUUUAAAGUGAAAACUCUAUCUUUAAAAGACUUUAACAGAUAUGGCCCAAAUUACUUUCCAGAGCAGUUCCAAGUUACUCUCCCACCAGCCAGAUGUGAAAUUCCCUUUGAGUCACAACUUCUUCAGCACUUGGCACUGUCAGACUUUAAACUUUGGCCAGCAUGUAGGCAUGAAAUAAUACUGUUUCUAAGUUGUAAUUCCUCAGUUACUGGUGAGGUUGAGCAUUUUCUUAUACAUUUAUUGGCUAUGCUAUCUUCCUUUUCUGGGAAGCAGUGAUCAUGAAUUUUUUUAGCCUGAGCACAAUUAUUUAGCAUAGAAUAAGUUUUUAAAAUAUUCUUCAGAAGGGAAUAUUUCAAAAAUGUGCUUGUCAAUGGAAAUGUAGAAUCAGAUACCUAUUUGAUCAUGAAUUAUUACAAAUUACAAAGAAUUCUCAGAGGACAAUAUUAAAGGAUCUUGGUACAUAAAAGCCAAAAGUGAGAAAAUGUAGGCAAUUCAAAGUUUGGGAAAGAAGAGGAUUGGGAUGAAACAAUGGACAGCAUUGAAGGAAAAGCACUCCUCUGUCUUAACCAACAGCAGAGGGGAAGGGAUUUCAUCGUUUUUAUAGACCCCAUAUUUUACCUACCAGAAAAUUCCAUUUCAUAAUGGUCAGACAGAGAAGGGGACUCCCAACAUCACCUUCCACAAGAAAAGAUGCUUCCUGGAAAGAGGAUGAGGCCGCACCGACACUGAAAUCUUUUGGGAACUAGAACAUGUGCACAGUCAUUUUGUUACUCACAGAAGUUUGUGACCUGCAAUUAACCUUUGGGAUCGCCUAAUUACACUAGGAUGAAGUGUUUGUCUGUUUUGUACAGCAAUUAGAAUGGUAUCUGGACUACCCCAUGUGUUCAAGUAAGCAUUUGUUGAAUGAGUCAAUAAAUGGGAAAACUAAUUAAUACUAACACAUACAAAUAUCAUUUUGUUUGCUUAUGAUUUUUCCAAAAACAAAACCUAUUUCAGUGUUAGAACCCAUGGGAGCACGGCUCUUACAUGGAACAGAAGUGAACAGCAGCUCAUUUGCCAGUUCCCUCGGAGUCUCAGCUUUCAAAACCCCGAGGAGUCUCUUCAACUGUUAGGAAAACAAAGAUAAGCAUAACACAAACCGAGUUACUGAUUUCAGUGUGGGAUUUCCAGGUUGAUUUUUCUCAAAUUAGAAAUCCCUCGGGAAGGCUUGCUAUGGAGAAAUGGGGAUCACCAUGAAAGGACUCCAAAAAGUUGAUGGAAAAUGAAAUUAGAGCUACAUUUAAGACAAUAUAAAACAUUUUGCAAUUCAUGCAUAUUCUAUGAUACCCAUUUUCCUCCAACAUUUUUUUCAAAAGUGCUUUUUUCUCAAAGAAUCAGUCAGCCAGGACAGUGGGCAUUGUAUUCUGUACCUCUGGGGGCAUCCCUGGAGAGGCAAAUCCUGUCCAUAUCAUUGUUAGCUGUCCACUUCAUCAAUAUGAUAAGAAAAACAUUCAGUUCCUCCAAAUUCCAUAAGACUUCCCCUUCAGGGGCCAGCGUUGUGGUACAGUGGGUUCGGCUACCACUUCUGACACUAGCAUCCCAUGUCAGAGUGCCACUGUGUGUCCUGCUUGCUCUGUUUCCCAUACAACUUCCUACUGAUGCCCCCAGGAAGGCAGCGGACUAUGGCCUAUGUGCUUGGGCCCUUAUCACCUAUGGGAGACAACCAGUUGGUGUUCAUGCUGCUGGCUUCAGCCUGGUCCAGACCUGGCCAAUGUGGUCAUUUGUGAACCAUAGGUUAGGAAGAUCAACUGAAGAAUUUCUCCACAUUUCAGAGUAAAAUAGAAAUAAAGAAGAGGGGUUAUGAUUAAGACUUUGUCUUCCUGAAGCCAAAGACCUUUGUUUAAAUUAAAAUUUGGAUCAACUCCAGUUAGGGAAACAAAGGGGCUAUUAGGAAAGUGUGAGGAGGCUUGGAAGGAGUGGGGAAGGAAGCCCUUGCACUGCCCACGGGCCCUCGCUGCUCUGCUCAGCCCAGCCAGCAGCCACCGCAGGGGCGGAGAUGGGACCCGGGGAUGAUCCGUCUGAUGUCCUCAGGGUGACCUCAUUCGGAUGUUCUGCACCCCCGGGAACUCUGAGUGGGCCAGUGUGUGCUUCAGCACGCCAUAAACACAGGACCUGUAGCAGACUAAAUACAGUAAACGUGGUCCUCAGAACAGGUCCCAAACAGCCCGACCCCCGUCUGCCACGGCUUGGAAGGAGUGCAGACAGAAAAGGUGAUGAAAUGCCUGCAGGGCGUGAGGCAGCCUGGAAAGCCCCGGGCGAGGUCCCCAGGCCCACCCCGCUCCACAUCACGACCAGCAACACCACCUGCUCUCAAGGCUCUGGGUUGUCAAGACGUUGACCAUUUCUGGGGGAAGCUUGUUGAUGACUUUAAGGGACACAAGGAUUCCAGGACAACUGACCAUGGAGGGCGCUGCUUUCCAACGAGCCACCCACCCUCGCUGGGAUCGGGACCCUGCUGCUGCUUAUCCAGAUGCUGCAGAGAAUAUUCCUCUUUCGGUGACUCCUGAAUGAACUUCUCUCACUGUGGAGAACCCAACAUUCGCCAUCCUUCUCCCCAGUGUGGAAAGCCCCUAAAGGGAGCGCUUCCUCUUCUGCACUUCAAGUUAACUGACCAGAUUUUUUCCCAAAAAAUCUCUAGGAAUAUUUUUUUUUCACUUAAUGACUUUUACAUUGUAGUCAAGAUACCCAUGUUUCAAGUAGCAUUAGUUUAAUUCAUUAUAAAACAUUGAAAUCAAUUUUUAAGAUAUCUGACGUGAGAAAAAUUGUCAUGGAAAAUGAUUUUCUUCUCUUGGAGUGACCCAUGUGCACUAUGCCAUGUAUGUGUGUGUGUGUCCUUGGCAAUACCCCCAAUGAAUUCCAGGCCCCAGACCCCAGAAGCACCAAAGACCACAACCCGCAGAUGUGUUAGCCACAUCUGUACAAUGGCAUCUGCUUGGUGCUGGCGUGAGAAUCCAUCCGCAAGCUAUGAUCUAAGGGUCGGCUGGAUGUGAAGAUAAUUUUGUUGUAAGGAAGGGGAACUGCAAAGUCUAGUUGCACGUGGUUUGAUAUGAGUCUCUUUAACAAUUCACCAGAACUUCGGAAGUUCCAAAACAGAUCAUAGUAAUAGAUAAUAUCUUUGGAUAAAUCACAAACUGCGAAGCAUUUUGCUGAGGGCUUUUGGCUGGGCUUCAUUCAUCAGGCAAACUUACCAAGUCUUCUGGGUCCAUCUGCAGCAAUGACUUACUGUACACUUCUAAUAUUCUUUAUUGCUUUUAUUUUAAUAUUUAUAUUUUCUCUUGUACUCUCCCACUAAUCAUUUCAAAAUUAAAUAGACUUUUCAAAGAACCCAAUUUGAUUCUUGUCUGUUUUGUAUUUGGUGAAUUUUCACCCUAUUUUUAGUAUCUCCUUCCUUCUACUUUCUUUCUCUAACUUCCUGAGAAUCUCCUUCUAGAACUUCCAUUAGGUACAUCUCACACAUUUUCAUAAGCAACAUUCCUCUCUGGUUCAGUCUAAAAUACAUGCUCAUAUAUGUUAUUUGUUAUGAUUUGCUUCCUCUGACCCAAGAUACAUGAUAUAUCUUUCUUUUCAAAAUGUAUUUGUUUACUUAUUGAUUUCUAGCUUAAUGGUAUUGAGGUCAGAG
Oryctolagus cuniculus (rabbit) is the source of this 6100-nucleotide non-coding RNA. NCBI's taxonomy places the organism in Eukaryota, Metazoa, Chordata, Mammalia, Lagomorpha, Leporidae. The record is from RefSeq and is a predicted model, not a curated record.